Molecule: ribosomal RNA, 460 nt
Filed under: uncultured bacterium
Lineage: Bacteria
Description: partial 16S ribosomal RNA
Rfam family: Bacterial small subunit ribosomal RNA
Source: RNAcentral
CCUACGGGCGGCAGCAGUGAGGAAUAUUGGUCAAUGGUCGGGAGACUGAACCAGCCAAGCCGCGUGAGGGAGGAAGGUACAGAGUAUCGUAAACCUCUUUUGUCAGGGAACAAAGGCGGGGACGUGUCCCCGGAUGAGUGUACCUGAAGAAAAAGCAUCGGCUAACUCCGUGCCAGCAGCCGCGGUAAUACGGAGGUCUCAAGCGUUGUUCGGAAUCACUGGGGUUAAAGGGUGCGUAGGCUGUUUCGUAAGUCGGGUGUGAAAGGCGCGGGCUCAACCCGCGGAGGGCACAGGAUACUGGCGGACUAGAGUAAUGGGGGGGGAACCGGAAUUCUCGGUGUAGCAGUGAAAUGCGUAGAUAUCGAGAGGAACACUCGUGGCGAAGGCGGGUUCCUGGACAUUAACUGACGCUGAGGCACGAAGGCCAGGGGAGCGAAAGGGAUUAGAUACCCUGGUAGUC